CUACUUGUAGAAGGUACAGCCAGCUUGUGUAGCCUUGGAUGGGAGCUUGCAGAUGAGAAGCUUCUUCAGUACCAUAAUCCUUCAGGCAAAUAAGCAUCCUUCAGCAGAGUAAAUGUGCAGGCCAGCAAGCAAAGGUUCUAGCCUAGCCUUGUCUUGUGUAUGUUGUUUUUGCACAGGAUUGGUGGAAUUAUAUUGUUAGUUCAGUACAGAGGAGCAUUCGAUGGGUAAGACAAAACUAGAAGGAGUGGGUGGAGAUUACAGGAAGGCAGAUUUCAGCGAUGAUCAGCAGAAACCUAUCAACACUGAGGGCUGCCCUUUACUUGAGGCAUUUAAGCAGAGGCCGGAUAGCCACCUGUCUGGGUCAAAUCCUGCACUAUAGAGGCAGCAUUGAAGGAUAUGAUCUCCCAAGUCCUUUACAGCUAGAGCUUGAAAAAACUUUGGGCUUUACCUUUCCCACACUUGUGUUUCCAGCUUUUUUGGUCCUAUGAACAGAUUUGUUGCUGCCUGCCUUCCAGACUCAGGUUCGCCACCUCUGGCAUGGAUGAAGCCAAAAGCCGGCCCUCGAGAGUUAGAGAUCUGCUCCUCUGUUUGGUUACUCCUGGCUCUGUUUCCUUGUGCCUCUCAGGAACCAAGUUUGCAACGGAAUUUCCUUGCCCUCGGGGUUAUUACAACCCGGAUCCAAUGACCCAGAGCCUGGACAGCUGUUUGCCAUGCCUCCCAGGGCAUUACUGUGGGAAGGAAAAUUUAACCACCGUUUCGGGGAAGUGUGAUGCAGGAUGGUUCUGCAUUUUGGCCGCAUGGACACCCCAGCCUUUUGAUCUGGAUAACUACACCAGUGGCAACUGUCUUUGCCCUGCCACGGCCACAGGAGCUAAAUGUUCCCCUGGGUUCUACUGCCCAGAAGGCAGCCCUGAGCCCAUUCUGUGUCCUCCAGGGUUUUACUGCAAUGCACCAGGUCUGUCUGCUCCAAGUGGUGAAUGUGCAGCUGGUUUUCAUUGUACAGGAGGAGCCUCUUCUCCUAAGCCUGUGGAUGGCGUUACAGGUAACCUCUGUCCACAAGGCGCUUACUGCCCCGCAGGGUCCUCCACGCCAACCCCUUGUCCCUCCGGCACCUUCUCCAACUUCUUAGGGUGGAGUAUGGUUUCAGACUGCCAGCUCUGUCCCUCCGGGUUUUACUGCGAAGGAUCUGGACUGAGGGCCCCUAGUGGAGAGUGCUGGGAAGGUAAACAACGUUGUUUAGUAAGGUUUCUUUGGAAGAAGCCAUCCCUAUCAAACUGGUGUGCAAUUCCUGCAGCUUUGUGGGACUUUCAGAAAUGUAGACAAUGCAGGUGUAGUGGAUAGUCUAUUGGUACUAGGACUCAGGAGACGGGGGUUCAAAUUCCCCACUCAGUCAUGGAAACCUCUUGGGAGGUAGUAAUGGUUAAUCACUCAUUGAACAUCUCACAGACAUCAGAAACCUUGAUAGGUUCACCAUAAUUCUGAAGAACCUUGAGUACACAUAGUCAUAAUCACAACCAC
This 1518-nucleotide long non-coding RNA is filed under the name Pogona vitticeps (central bearded dragon). Its description in RNAcentral is "lncRNA (ENSPVIG00000025094.1)". Lineage: Eukaryota; Metazoa; Chordata; Lepidosauria; Squamata; Agamidae. The record is from RNAcentral.